GUUAGCGGCGGACGGGUGAGUAACACGUGGGUAACCUACCUAUAAGACUGGAAUAACUCCGGGAAACCGGGGCUAAUGCCGGAUAACAUUUAGAACCGCAUGGUUCUAAAGUGAAAGAUGGUUUUGCUAUCACUUAUAGAUGGACCCGCGCCGUAUUAGCUAGUUGGUAAGGUAAUGGCUUACCAAGGCAACGAUACGUAGCCGACCUGAGAGGGUGAUCGGCCACACUGGAACUGAUACACGGCCCAGACUCCUACGGGAGGCAGCAGUAGGGAAUCUUCCGCAAUGGGGGAAAGCCUGACGGAGCAACGCCGCGUGAGUGAUGAAGGGUUUCGGCUCGUAAAACUCUGUUAUUAGGGAAGAACAAACGUGUAAGUAACUGUGCACGUCUUGACGGUACCUAAUCAGAAAGCCACGGCUAACUACUUGCCAGCAGCCGCGGUAAUACGUAGGUGGCAAGCGUUAUCCGGAAUUAUUGGGCGUAAAGCGCGCG
This 493-nucleotide ribosomal RNA is filed under the name Staphylococcus arlettae. RNAcentral's name for it is "bacterial SSU rRNA". It matches the Rfam family "Bacterial small subunit ribosomal RNA", at positions 91 to 571 of the family's 1533-position model. Lineage: Bacteria; Bacillati; Bacillota; Bacilli; Caryophanales; Staphylococcaceae. The record is from RNAcentral.